AUUGAACGCUGGCGGCAGGCUUAACACAUGCAAGUCGAGCGGAGAGAGGUAGCUUGCUACUGAUCUUAGCGGCGGACGGGUGAGUAAUGCUUAGGAAUCUGCCUAUUAGUGGGGGACAACAUUUCGAAAGGAAUGCUAAUACCGCAUACGUCCUACGGGAGAAAGCAGGGGAUCUUCGGACCUUGCGCUAAUAGAUGAGGCUAAGUCGGAUUAGCUAGUUGGGGGGGUAAAGGCCUACCAAGGCGACGAUCUGUAGCGGGUCUGAGAGGAUGAUCCGCCACACUGGGACUGAGACACGGCCCAUACUCCUACGGGAGGCAGCAGUGGGGAAAAUUGGACAAUGGGCGCAAGCCUGAUCCAGCCAUGCCGCGUGUGUGAAGAAGGCCUUAUGGUUGUAAAGCACUUUAAGCGAGGAGGAGGCUACUUUAGUUAAUACCUAGAGAUAGUGGACGUUACUCGCAGAAUAAGCACCGGCUAACUCUGUGCCAGCCGCCGCAGUAA
This 501-nucleotide ribosomal RNA is filed under the name uncultured bacterium. RNAcentral describes it as "partial 16S ribosomal RNA". It matches the Rfam family "Bacterial small subunit ribosomal RNA", at positions 30 to 523 of the family's 1533-position model. The record is from RNAcentral.